This is an RNA transcript of Vitis vinifera (wine grape), 2799 nucleotides long. It is a transcript of the gene named ARM REPEAT PROTEIN INTERACTING WITH ABF2, with no coding region annotated. The transcript is spliced from 5 exons. NCBI's taxonomy places the organism in Eukaryota, Viridiplantae, Streptophyta, Magnoliopsida, Vitales, Vitaceae. The record is from RefSeq and is a predicted model, not a curated record.
CAUACUCAUUCUUUAGUCUCGAGACUUUCCUCUCUCUCACCUCUUUUUCUUCUCCUCUUCUCUUUUAUGCACGUUAUUGUCGUCACGAUCUCACCUUCUCGUUCCUAACAAAUUUUUUCCCCUGCUAGCUUAGAAAGUGAAAGAAACUGGAGGUAGGAAGACGAGGCUUUUGUGUCUCAUCUAUGGUGGCGUCCCUCCGAAGUGGAAUCUAGGGCGCGGCGGAAAGAAGGGGAAGUGAAAGGCGGAGGACUUUUGAGUUUUAUUGGCCGAGAGGCUAGGGCACGGUGUGAUUUGGUUCGAUCUCGGUGUGGAAGCUCGGAGAAUCAACUUAUUGCGUAGUGGUUUUGUGGUUGUGGGAUUUUGGAAACCUUAGAUUUGGGUCAGGGUUGUGUGGUUGGCUGAUUAAGCUAGGGGCGGGGCUGCCCUUGCGAUUGACUGGGUUUUCAUGCUGUCAAAACCACUGCCUUGGGAUCGGAAGGACUUCUUCAAGGAGAGGAGAGGAAGCACGAGAGGUCGGAGUCUUUAAGUUUGCUGCAAGAUAGAGGACUCGCAUCAGGGUUCUUGGGAGUUUGCUCGCCGGAAUCGGCAGACUUGCGCCGUCCUACAGAAGCACGAGAGGUCUGAGUCUUUAGGUUAGCUGCAAGAUAGAGGGACUCGCAUCAGGUUCUUGGGAGUUUGCUCGCCGGGAUCGGUAGACUUUCGCCCCCCUACAGGGACACUUUUCUUUGCCAUGAGCAAUGUUGGUGAGGUGGGUAAAUAUCAAUACACUUGAAUAUGAUUGUCACAUCAUUUGGGGGCUUUUGACUCUGGAAGAUUUCUGAUUAAUGUCAUUAAAUUUUUUCUUUUUCUUUUGAAACAAUAUGCCCCUUGAAGACUUGCUUUGAAUAAAUAAGAUUUUAACUUGUUUAGCAUUGUCUAUUGUUGUCUUAUUGCAUUAGAGAGAAGAAAAAAUUACACCUUGAUUCCAUUAUUCUCCUUUUCAAUUCUAACUAGUCAACAUCCUAAACAAUUUAUCAUCUUUGAAAACUUGAAGACGUUCUACUUCUAGCUUUAUCUUGCAGAAGGACAAUGAUUCCUGAUCUAUCUGAAUGAGGUUUAACACCAAGAACCAGAGUAGGCCUUGGACAACUCAGAUGGAAAUUAAAUCUUGUCUGCAUCACUGCUCCAUCUCCAAAUUGACUUGAGCUUUUCUUAUUUAUUGACAUUCUAUUUUUGUACAGAUUUUUAUACACUGGAUCUGUAGAAAUUAUAUUGGAUAUUGCACAAGAUCUCCUCAUAGCUACUGAUCGGUAUCUCUUGCAGGGAUAAAGCGUCCCUGUGAGUGUACCAUUGCCCAUGAUAUAUCACUGGAAAAUGUUUCAAGAAUGCAUGAGCUUUCAGAAGCCUUCCAUGCUAUUUCCUUAAGACACACAUGCCUCUUGUCUAUCUUGGAGCAGUUUAGUAAACUGAGUUCUAGGGCCGGAAGAAUUAGUGACUUAAAUGGAGAGGGUUCCACUUUUCCACCCCUAAGAAGCAUGAAGAGAAUGUACAGGUUUUAAGUGGUAUUUAUGAUUAAAAAAAUGCUCUAAAGCAAAGUAAUUCACACUCUCUAGCACUAGUACUUACAUGGACUUAGUUUAUGUUGCAGGAUGUUGAGGGGUUGUAAUAUCUCAGGACCAAUCCCCACAUAUAUAGUAGAGAUGACAGAAUUGAGAUUUUUGUAACUCUAACAUGCAUUUCUUUUCCUCUUUCUUUUUCUUUUAUGGCAAAUUUGUUGUCCCUAAAUGGUUGGAGUAGUGGAUUAUGUCAAGUAUCAUUACCUUUCUACAGUAAGAACUUGUAUUGUGGGCUACCAUGUAAGGGGCUUCCUCUUCUUGUUCCUUCCCUUUACCCUUGACCUUUAAUCAUUAAGGCAAAUUGUGCCUUUUUUUUUUUUCUACAUUUUUAUUUUUACAUAUGAAGGUAGAAAAAGUAGGAAAGACAAAUAUUUUACAAUAUGGGCCAAAGCUAUAUUGGGAGACUGUAUGUUGAUGGAAAUUACCAGCUCCUUUGGGUCUAAACUAUAUUUUUAUCUUUUGACUCCAUAGUUGGAAGCUCUUUUUUCUCUGUCCCUUUUGCGAAGGGAUCCUUUCCUCUUGUAAUUCAUCCCCCCCUCUUAUUGAAUUUGUUGGGUGGUUUUUCUGUGUCAAAAUACUUUUGUGAGAUUAAAUUGGCCCUCAAAUGAUAAUAUACACACCCUGACUUUAUUAUUAUUAAGAAUGGGGAUAAAUGGCUGAUCUAGGGGUCAGUAAUUCUAUGUCUAUCAAUGAGUUAUGCCUCUUUUCUUUACCCCUCUAUCUUCAGACUAAUGGCCUUUUAUCUCUUGAGAUUUAUAUUGCCACCAAAAUCAAUACAUGAGGAAGUUCAAAUAUUAUCAUUAAAAAACAGGAACUAGAAAAAAGGUAUUAGAAUGUGCAGUAAAUUGCAAGAGACAAUCUUUUGUGUUUGACUUGUUCAAGGAAGGGAUGUAAGCAUGGAAUCCUAUAAAUAUACAAGCUUUCUAGUUGUCUUACCCCCAAACCCCCUCUUAUUAUGGGAUGUUAGUUCCUUUCCUUAAUAAAUUUUUUCUAUUUACUUCAAACCUCCUCUUAUUAUGGGGAUGUUAGUUCCUUUCCUUAAUUUUUUUUUUAUUUACUCUAAAUUCUUGUUUCAUGCACUAUUGUUUUCUGGUUGGAAAUUGUGACAUGGUCAAUGCACAACUAACAUGAUUUCCUAUUUAAGAUUUUUUUUUUUUGAGCCAAUGAUUGCAUAAGAAUAACCCAUUACAAUUUAACCUUUUUU